UACGGGGGGAGCAAGCGUUGUUCGGAUUUACUGGGCGUAAAGGGCGCGUAGGCGGUCAGCACAAGUCAGUUGUGAAAUCUCCGGGCUUAACUCGGAAAGGUCAACUGAUACUGUGCGACUAGAGUGCGGAAGGGGCAACUGGAAUUCUCGGUGUAGCAGUGAAAUGCGUAGAGAUCAUGAGGAAGACCAGUGGCGAAGGCGGGUCUCUGGACAGUUCCUGACACUGAGGCACGAAGGCCAGGGGAGCAAACGGG
Molecule: ribosomal RNA, 254 nt
Filed under: uncultured bacterium
Lineage: Bacteria
Description: partial 16S ribosomal RNA
Rfam family: Bacterial small subunit ribosomal RNA
Source: RNAcentral